This 274-nucleotide ribosomal RNA is filed under the name uncultured bacterium. Its description in RNAcentral is "partial 16S ribosomal RNA". It matches the Rfam family "Bacterial small subunit ribosomal RNA", at positions 523 to 796 of the family's 1533-position model. The record is from RNAcentral.
AUACGAAGGUCCCAAGCGUUGUUCGGAUUUACUGGGCGUAAAGCGUCUGUAGGCGGCGUGGUAAGUCAGAUGUGAAAUCCCGGGGCCCAACACCGGAACUGCAUCCGAUACUGCCAUGCUAGAGUAUUGGAGGGGAGUCUGGAAUUCUCGGUGUAGCAGUGAAAUGCGUAGAUAUCGAGAGGAACACUAGUGGCGAAGGCGAGACUCUGGACAAUAACUGACGCUGAGAGACGAAGGCCAGGGUAGCGAAAAGGAUUAGAAACCCUAGUAGUCC